UGUUCUGUGGCUUAGUUGGUUAAAGCGCCGGUCUAGCGAAUACGGAGUCGUGGGUUAGAAUCCCACCAGUACGC
Molecule: non-coding RNA, 74 nt
Organism: Aedes albopictus (Asian tiger mosquito)
Lineage: Eukaryota; Metazoa; Arthropoda; Insecta; Diptera; Culicidae
Source: Rfam